Molecule: ribosomal RNA, 457 nt
Filed under: uncultured bacterium
Lineage: Bacteria
Description: partial 16S ribosomal RNA
Rfam family: Bacterial small subunit ribosomal RNA
Source: RNAcentral
GAUGAACGCUGGCAGCGUGCCUAAUACAUGCAAGUCGAGCGGUAAGGCCCUUCGGGGUACACGAGCGGCGGACGGGUGAGUAACGCGUAAGAAUCUACCCCAAACUGAGGGAUAAGCACCAGAAAUGGUGUCUAAUACCGCAUGUGCUCUACGGAGUAAAGCUACGGCGGUUUGGGAAGAGCUUGCGUAUGAUUAGCUAGUUGGUAAGGUAAUGGCUUACCAAGGCGACGAUCAUUAGCUGGUCUGAGAGGAUGAUCAGCCACACUGGGACUGAGACACGGCCCAGACUCCUACGGGAGGCAGCAGUAGGGAAUUUUCCACAAUGGGGGCAACCCUGAUGGAGCAACGCCGCGUGCAGGAUGAAGGCCUUCGGGUUGUAAACUGCUUUUGUCUGUGACGAAUAUGACGGUAGCAGACGAAUAAGGAUCGGCUAACUACGUGCCAGCCGCCGCCGUAA